UACGUAGGCAGCGAGCGUUGUUCGGAGUUACUGGGCGUAAAGGGUGCGUAGGUGGUGAGGUAAGUCGGAUGUGAAAUCUCCGGGCUCAACCCGGAAAUGGCAUUGGAAACUACCUUGCUGGAGGAUUUGAGGGGGGAUUGGAAUACUUGGUGUAGCAGUGAAAUGCGUAGAUAUCAAGUGGAACACCAGUGGCGAAGGCGAAUCCCUGGACAGAUCCUGACGCUGAGGCACGAAAGCUAGGGGAGCAAACAGG
Molecule: ribosomal RNA, 253 nt
Filed under: uncultured bacterium
Lineage: Bacteria
Description: partial 16S ribosomal RNA
Rfam family: Bacterial small subunit ribosomal RNA
Source: RNAcentral